UACGUAAGGUCCGAGCGUUGUCCGGAAUCAUUGGGCGUAAAGGGUUCGCAGGCGGAUCUGCAAGUCAGAUGUAAAAGGCAGUAGCUUAACUACUGUAAGCAUUUGAAACUGCAUAUCUUGAGAAGAGUAGAGGUAAGUGGAAUUUUUAGUGUAGCGGUGAAAUGCGUAGAUAUUAAAAAGAAUACCGGUGGCGAAGGCGACUUACUGGGCUCAGUCUGACGCUGAGGAACGAAAGCGUGGGUAGCAAACAGG
This 252-nucleotide ribosomal RNA is filed under the name uncultured bacterium. RNAcentral describes it as "partial 16S ribosomal RNA". It matches the Rfam family "Bacterial small subunit ribosomal RNA", at positions 524 to 776 of the family's 1533-position model. The record is from RNAcentral.